UCUACGGGUGGCUGCAGUGAGGAAUAUUGGUCAAUGGACGCAAGUCUGCACCAGCCAUGCCGCGUGCAGGAAGACGGCUCUAUGAGUUGUAAACUGCUUUUGUACGAGGGUAAACGCAGAUACGCGUAUCUGUCUGAAAGUAUCGUACGAAUAAGGAUCGGCUAACUCCGUGCCAGCAGCAGCGGUAAUACGGAGGCUUCAAGCGUUAUCCGGAUUUCUUGGGUUUAAAGGGUGCGUAGGCCGGCGGAUAAGUUAGAGGUGAAAUCCCGAGGCUUAACUUCGGAAUUGCCUUUGAUACUGUUCGGCUAGAGAGUAGUAGCGGUAGGCGGAAUGUAUGGUGUAGCGGUGAAAUGCUUAGAGAUCAUACAGAACACCGAUUGCGAAGGCAGCUUACCAAGCUACUGCUGACGUUGAGGCACGAAAGCGUGGGGAGCAAACAGGAUUAGAUACCCGUGUAGUC
RNAcentral lists this ribosomal RNA (460 nucleotides) under uncultured bacterium. Its description in RNAcentral is "partial 16S ribosomal RNA". It matches the Rfam family "Bacterial small subunit ribosomal RNA", at positions 338 to 795 of the family's 1533-position model. The record is from RNAcentral.